GACGAACGCUGGCGGCGUGCUUAACACAUGCAGGUCGAACGGAAAGGCCCUGCUUUUGUGGUGUGCUCGAGUGGCGAACGGGUGAGUAACACGUGAGUAACCUGCCCUUGACUUUGGGAUAACUUCAGGAAACUGGGGCUAAUACCGGAUAGGAGCUCCUGCUGCAUGGUGGGGGUUGGAAAGUUUCGGCGGUUGGGGAUGGACUCGCGGCUUAUCAGCUUGUUGGUGGGGUAGUGGCUUACCAAGGCUUUGACGGGUAGCCGGCCUGAGAGGGUGACCGGCCACAUUGGGACUGAGAUACGGCCCAGACUCCUACGUGAGGCAGCAGUGGGGAAUAUUGCACAAUGGGCGGAAGCCUGAUGCAGCAACGCCGCGUACGGGAUGACGGCCUUCGGGUUGUAAACCGCUUUCGCCUGUGACGAAGCGUGAGUGACGGUAAUGGGUAAAGAAGCACCGGCUAACUACGUG
This 468-nucleotide ribosomal RNA is filed under the name uncultured bacterium. Its description in RNAcentral is "partial 16S ribosomal RNA". It matches the Rfam family "Bacterial small subunit ribosomal RNA", at positions 28 to 507 of the family's 1533-position model. The record is from RNAcentral.